CCUACGGGUGGCAGCAGUGAGGAAUAUUGGUCAAUGGGCGCGAGCCUGAACCAGCCAAGUAGCGUGAAGGAUGACUGCCCUACGGGUUGUAAACUUCUUUUAUAAAGGAGUAAAGUGAGGCACGUGUGCCUGUUUGUAUGUACUUUAUGAAUAAGGAUCGGCUAACUCCGUGUCAGCAGCCGCGGUAAUACGGAGGAUCCGAGCGUUAUCCGGAUUUAUUGGGUUUAAAGGGUGCGUAGAUGGGUUGUUAAGUCAGUGGUGAAAGUUUGAGGCUCAACCGUAGAAUUGCAAUUGAUACUGGCAGGCUUGAGUGCAGUUGAGGUAGGCGGAAUGCGUGGUGUAGCGGUGAAAUGCUUAGAGAUCACGCAGAACUCCGAUUGCGAAGGCAGCCUACUAAGCUGCCACUGACAUUGAGGCACGAAAGUGUGGGGAUCAAACAGGAUUAGAUACCCGAGUAGUC
RNAcentral lists this ribosomal RNA (460 nucleotides) under uncultured bacterium. Its description in RNAcentral is "partial 16S ribosomal RNA". It matches the Rfam family "Bacterial small subunit ribosomal RNA", at positions 338 to 795 of the family's 1533-position model. The record is from RNAcentral.